GGGACCCGUCUUGAAACACGGACCAAGGAGUCUAGCAUGUGCGCGAGUCAUUGGGACUCGAACGAAAGGCGUAAUGAAAGUGAAGGCUGCGUUUACUCGUCUACUCUUUUCUAAUCCUAGAAGAGAGCGGAGAGUUUCGCGACCGAGGGAGGAUAGGUAUAUACGUAGCGAACGAACACAACGUGUCGUGUGUGUGUGUGUGUGUCGUGUCAUCGACCGAUGUAUAUAUAUACACGCGUUCGACCUCGCACUCCCUGGGCGUCUCGUUCUCAUCGCGAGAAGAGGCGCACCUAUAGCGUACACGCUGGGACCCGAAAGAUGGUGAACUAUGCCUGGUCAGGAUGAAGUCAGGGGAAACCCUGAUGGAGGUCCGUAGCGAUUCUGACGUGCAAAUCGAUCGUCGGAACUGGGUAUAGGGGCGAAAGACUAAUCGAACCGUCUAGUAGCUGGUUCCCUCCGAAGUUUCCCUCAGGAUAGCUGGCUCUCGUAUUAUACGAGUCUCAUUCGGUAAAGCGAAUGAUUAGAGGCAUUGGGGUCGAAACGGCCUCAACCUAUUCUCAAACUUUAAAUGGGUGAGAUCUCCGGCUUGCUUUAAACUUGAAGCCGCGAGUGUUUCGGAUCAGAGUGCCAAGUGGGCCACUUUUGGUAAGCAGAACUGGUGAUGUGGGAUGAACCAAACGUAUAGUUAAAGCGCCAAAAUCGACGCUUAUGGGAUACCAUAAAAGGCGUUGGUAACUUAAGACAGCAGGACGGUGGCCAUGGAA
Molecule: ribosomal RNA, 764 nt
Filed under: Phaeochrous sp. BM678421
Lineage: Eukaryota; Metazoa; Arthropoda; Insecta; Coleoptera; Hybosoridae
Description: eukaryotic LSU rRNA
Rfam family: Eukaryotic large subunit ribosomal RNA
Source: RNAcentral